This 5052-nucleotide small RNA is filed under the name Pan troglodytes (chimpanzee). Its description in RNAcentral is "retained intron". The record is from RNAcentral. Lineage: Eukaryota; Metazoa; Chordata; Mammalia; Primates; Hominidae.
GAGAUCUGAAACCACAAAAGUUUCUCGUUACAGCUAUGGCCUCCAUUUAAAAUCGGAAAUGAUCACGCUUAACUGUCCUUGAGAGCAUUUGUUUAAAGUCAAUAUUUAACUUAACACUCCACUUAUUUCUUCUUACUCUUUCGUUAACUUUCGUUCUUUCACGCAUAGAGUCAACAUUCAUGAUAUCCUUGUUCUUCCCCAUCUUCAGUUACUCCUGAGGCGUGGCGUGUGAUGAUGUCCCUUAAAUCAGGUCUUUUGGCUGAGAGUACGUGGGCUUUGGACACUAUUAAUAUUCUUCUGUAUGAUGACAGCACUGUUGCUACUUUCAAUCUCUCCCAGGUAAGCCAGCGUAGUCCAACUAACAACCAAAUUAGGAUAGGAGAGCAUCAGGCCAUGCACAUUUGUGCUUGCACUAAUGCCUGAGUUGAUGAGCACUGACCAUCCAACACUGUUAAUCACUGCAGUUGUUAUCAACCAGGCUUAAUCAAUGUAGAGUUAUCUGGGAUAAUAUUCAUUGUAGUCUUUAGUGUGUGUACACACACAUACCUCUAUUUCUUAUGAGAGAACAGUGACUGUGUGUGUAAGUGUAUAUGGGAUAGAUGACAGUAGUAACAUUAAAUUGUUCAGAAUGAAUAUUAGCUAGCUGGCCAAUAGGAAGUAAUCAAAAUGUAACAUUAAGUUGUGACUGGAGUCAGCAUUGGAAACACAGUUGGUUGCAAUGGGACAUAACCCUGCUUUCCAGGAGGACUUGACAUCUUCUUUUCAUUAAAAAGAUAUUCAAGAUUUAGAAAUUUUAUAUUCUAUACAUUUAUAGAAUGUAUAAAUAUAUAUAGAAGGAGAGAGAACAGUUUAAUGAACCCCCAUGUACCUGUCAGUCCGCUAAAAUAGUUAUGAACUCAUGGCUAAACUUACUUCUUAGUCUAUGCUCUCUCAUUUCUGCCUCUCUCCAGGUUAUUUUGAAGCAGUCAUGUAAAAGCCUACUACUUUUAAUGAGCUUAAACCCCUCCUUUGUUCAGAGGUAGGCUUCAGGUAGCUUCCAGCAUAAUAGCUAGAAGAGAGGAGCACUGAAGUUUGGGGAAAAUGCCCGAGUCCACUGGGCUAUAGACUUUUAAAGAAAUAUUUAGAAAUAAAAAAUGGAAAAAGGUCAUUUUCCCUAUAGUAUACAAACAGCUCUCUACUUUGAGUGCAAAAACUAAAACACUUAAUUUCCUUGCUUCUAAGGAAAUAAGACCAGAAUCUUCUACUUCUUUCUUCUCUCAUUUAAGCCCUCAUUAUCAGCUUAGAAAGGCAAUUUUUCAAUUGCUAGAAAGUUUAUUAAUAAGGUCAUAAACAUUGUACGAGUUCUGUGUUAACAGAAAAUAAGUAUUUAAAAACUGUAUACUGCAUUUGCUAGAGUAAUGCGCUUUCAUCCUUAUGUUAGGUGAACUGUUGUUGAUCACAUAUUUGCAUAACCAGAAUUGCUUUAUUAACUUUCCCUUUUCCCCUGGAAAAAAAAGGGAAAAUGCCCUUGGAACAUUGUGCCUUCAGCACACUAAAAGCAAUUCUUUCUAGUUGGUGCUGGGGGCUUCCCCUGACUUCUUAAAAAUUGUUCCAACUCUACUUUCAAGAAACUGACAGUAGGAUAUGAAGGUAUAGCUGAUUUCCAGAACAUCUGCCGGGAAAGAAUCCUUGUUAGAAUCCUUGUUACUUACUCUUUAGAGUUCCUAAACAUGGUGGGGGGUGUUGGGAGAGAGGGCAGUUGCUAAUCGUGAAGUGUAUUGGUUUUUUCUUGAUACAAACAGUUGCUUAAAGGAAACCAAACUUGUUCUUGUAGUCAGUGGUUCUCUCAUAGUGGUUUUUGUCUUUCAGCUAGAGUCAUAAAUAACUGAAAUGUAAAAUUGCAUUUUAUGAAACAUUCUAAUUUAUUUAUCAUAGGCUAAAUUGAUUUGUUUUUAAUUUUCAGUGUUCAUGAGCUACCACAUUGCUGAAAUUAUCUUCUCCAAAAGAUAUAUAGAGAACAUAAAUUAGGGUGACCUAUGGUACCUGAGACAAAAAUAACCAUAAAAUCCUAAGAAUAACAACCAUAAAAAUCCCGGCAAGCAAGUCUCAGAUAAAUAAUAGAAGAGAACAGAGUCACUUUGGGCAAAAGAGUCUAUAAAAUCCAUGUUCCCACUCUUCUAAUAAUGAGUACAUUGUCUCUAAAUCAGGAACAGAAAGGUAAAGAACAGCAAGGCACUCCCUCAGUGAUAAGAUUAGAGAUGUGAGAAUAAAAAGUAAGUUUUCGUGUAGAUAGUCUAAGCAAGGAAGCAGCAAAUAAGGAACAUGCUAAACGUCGGUUUAGUUUAUACUGUAAAAUUCAGGAAGUUCACUGGACCUGAAGGGUAGUUUAUCUUUCGUGGUCCAGCCAAAAAGGGAGACAAACGUGUGACAAUGAUGGAAAGGUAUUGACGGGUCUCAGGAUCUUUACCCUCCUCGGUCAUAUCUGAUGUCAUGACAUUGUACCUGUUCUUUCUUUCUUCUCCUCCUCCUCCUCUCCAGUUGUCUGGAUUUCUCGAACUUUUAGUCGAGUACUUUAGAAAAUGCCUGAUUGACAUUUUUGGAAUUCUUAUGGAAUAUGAAGUGGGAGACCCCAGCCAAAAAGCACUUGACCACAACGCAGCAAGGAAGGAUGACAGCCAGUCCUUGGCGGACGAUUCUGGGAAAGAGGAGGAAGAUGCUGAAUGUAUUGAUGACGACGAGGAAGACGAGGAGGAUGAGGAGGAAGACAGCGAGAAGACAGAAAGCGAUGAAAAGAGCAGCAUCGCUCUGACUGCCCUGGACGCCGCUGCAGACCCAAAGGAGAAGCCCAAGCAAGCCAGUAAGUUCGACAAGCUGCCAAUAAAGAUAGUCAAAAAGAACAACCUGUUUGUUGUUGACCGAUCUGACAAGUUGGGGCGUGUGCAGGAGUUCAAUAGUGGCCUUCUGCACUGGCAGCUCGGCGGGGGCGACACCACCGAGCACAUUCAGACUCACUUUGAGAGCAAGAUGGAAAUUCCUCCUCGCAGGCGCCCACCUCCCCCCUUAAGCUCCGCAGGUAGAAAGAAAGAGCAAGAAGGCAAAGGCGACUCUGAAGAGCAGCAAGAGAAAAGCAUCAUAGCAACCAUCGAUGACGUCCUCUCUGCUCGGCCAGGGGCAUUGCCUGAAGACGCAAACCCUGGGCCCCAGACCGAAAGCAGUAAGUUUCCCUUUGGUAUCCAGCAAGCCAAAAGUCACCGGAACAUCAAGCUGCUGGAGGACGAGCCCAGGAGCCGAGACGAGACUCCUCUGUGUACCAUCGCGCACUGGCAGGACUCGCUGGCUAAGCGAUGCAUCUGUGUGUCCAAUAUUGUCCGUAGCUUGUCAUUCGUGCCUGGCAAUGAUGCCGAAAUGUCCAAACAUCCAGGCCUGGUGCUGAUCCUGGGGAAGCUGAUUCUUCUUCACCACGAGCAUCCAGAGAGAAAGCGAGCACCGCAGACCUAUGAGAAAGAGGAGGACGAGGACAAGGGGGUGGCCUGCAGCAAAGAUGAGUGGUGGUGGGACUGCCUCGAGGUCUUGAGGGAUAACACGUUGGUCACGUUGGCCAACAUUUCCGGGCAGCUAGACUUGUCUGCUUACACGGAAAGCAUCUGCUUGCCAAUUUUGGAUGGCUUGCUGCACUGGAUGGUGUGCCCGUCUGCAGAGGCACAAGAUCCCUUUCCAACUGUGGGACCCAACUCGGUCCUGUCGCCUCAGAGACUUGUGCUGGAGACCCUCUGUAAACUCAGUAUCCAGGACAAUAAUGUGGACCUGAUCUUGGCCACUCCUCCAUUUAGUCGUCAGGAGAAAUUCUAUGCUACAUUAGUUAGGUACGUUGGGGAUCGCAAAAACCCAGUCUGUCGAGAAAUGUCCAUGGCGCUUUUAUCGAACCUUGCCCAAGGGGACGCACUAGCAGCAAGGGCCAUAGCUGUGCAGAAAGGAAGCAUUGGAAACUUGAUAAGCUUCCUAGAGGAUGGGGUCACGAUGGCCCAGUACCAGCAGAGCCAGCACAACCUCAUGCACAUGCAGCCCCCGCCCCUGGAACCACCUAGCGUAGACAUGAUGUGCAGGGCGGCCAAGGCUUUGCUAGCCAUGGCCAGAGUGGACGAAAACCGCUCGGAAUUCCUUUUGCACGAGGGCCGGUUGCUGGAUAUCUCGAUAUCAGCUGUCCUGAACUCUCUGGUUGCAUCUGUCAUCUGUGAUGUACUGUUUCAGAUUGGGCAGUUAUGACAUAAGUGAGAAGGCAAGCAUGUGUGAGUGAAGAUUAGAGGGUCACAUAUAACUGGCUGUUUUCUGUUCUUGUUUAUCCAGCGUAGGAAGAAGGAAAAGAAAAUCUUUGCUCCUCUGCCCCAUUCACUAUUUACCAAUUGGGAAUUAAAGAAAUAAUUAAUUUGAACAGUUAUGAAAUUAAUAUUUGCUGUCUGUGUGUAUAAGUACAUCCUUUGGGGGUUUUUUUUCCUUUUUUUUUUUAACCAAAGUUGCUGUCUAGUGCAUUCAAAGGUCACUUUUUGUUCUUCACAGAUCUUUUUAAUGUUCUUUCCCAUGUUGUAUUGCAUUUUUGGGGGAAGCAAAUUGACUUUAAAGAAAAAAGUUGUGGCAAAAGAUGCUAAGAUGCGAAAAUUUCACCACACUGAGUCAAAAAGGUGAAAAAUUAUCCAUUUCCUAUGCGUUUUACUCCUCAGAGAAUGAAAAAAACUGCAUCCCAUCACCCAAAGUUCUGUGCAAUAGAAAUUUCUACAGAUACAGGUAUAGGGGCUCAAGGAGGUAUGUCGGUCAGUAGUCAAAACUAGGAAAUGAUACUGGUUUCUCCACAGGAAUACGGUUCCAUUAGGCUGGGAGCAAAAACAAUGUUUUUUAAGAUUGAGAAUACAUACCUGACAACGAUCCGGAAACUGCUCCUCACCACUCCCGUCAUGCCUGCUGUCGGCGUUUGACCUUCCACGUGACAGUUCUUCACAAUUCCUUUCAUCAUUUUUUAAAUAUUUUUUUUACUGCCUAUGGGCUGUGAUGUAUAUAGAAGUUGUACAUUAAACAUACCCU